GAUGAAGAACGUAGCGAAAUGCGAUACGUAAUGUGAAUUGCAGAAUUCAGUGAAUCAUCGAAUCUUUGAACGCAUAUUGCGCUCUUUGGUAUUCCGAAGAGCAUGCUUGUUUGAGUAUCAGUAAACACCUCAAAGCUUUUGGAUUUUUUAAUCGAAAAGCUUUGGACUUGAGCAAUCCCAACACCAAUCUUUUUGAGAUCGGUGGCGGGUUGCUUGAAAUGCAGGUGCAGCUGGACAUUCUCCUGAGCUAAAAGCAUAUUCAUUUAGUCCCGUCAAACGGAUUAUUACUUUUGCUGCAGCUAACAUAAAGGGAGUUGGACCGUAUUGGCUGACUGAUGCAGGAUUUCACAAGGGUCGGCAACGAUUCUUGUUAAACUCGAUCUCAAAUCAAGUAAGACUACCCGCUGAACUUAAGCAUAUCAAUAAGCGGAGGA
This 434-nucleotide unclassified non-coding RNA is filed under the name soil metagenome. Its description in RNAcentral is "partial contains 5.8S ribosomal RNA, internal transcribed spacer 2, and large subunit ribosomal RNA". The stretch from base 1 to 120 matches the Rfam family "5.8S ribosomal RNA", at positions 35 to 154 of the family's 154-position model. The record is from RNAcentral.